CCUACGGGAGACAGCAGUGGGGAAUUUUGCGCAAUGCUCGUAAGAGUGACGCAGCGACGCCGCGUGAAUGACGAAGGCCUUCGGGUCGUAAAGUUCUUGCGACAGGGAAGAAAAUGCCUAUAAGUAACUGUGUAUGUAUUGACGGUACCUGUAUAAGCAGCCCCGGUUAACUCCGUGCCAGCAGCCGCGGUAAUACGGAGGGGGCGAGCGUUGUUCGGAGGGACUGGGCGUAAAGAGCACGUAGGCGGUGUUGUAAGUCAUUAGUCAAAGACUAGAGCUCAACUUUAGUAAGGCUAGUGAUACUAUAAUACUAGAGUAUCAGAGAGGAUUGCAGAAUUCCUGGUGUAGCGGUGAAAUGCGUAGAUAUCAGGAGGAAUACCGUUAGCGAAGGCGGCAAUCUGGCUGGAAACUGACGCUGAGGUGCGAAAGCGUGGGUAGCAAACAGGAUUAGAUACCCGAGUAGUC
This 465-nucleotide ribosomal RNA is filed under the name uncultured bacterium. Its description in RNAcentral is "partial 16S ribosomal RNA". It matches the Rfam family "Bacterial small subunit ribosomal RNA", at positions 338 to 795 of the family's 1533-position model. The record is from RNAcentral.